CCUUCAUUUUUAAACUUCUUAUCAUGAUCUAUUCUUCCCUUACUAUAUGAAGGUGCAUUGGAAAGCACAUCUACUAUGAUCUCUUCUGUUUUAUAUUAUCUAAUCUAUUACUCAAAUUCUAGUCUAAUCAUCAUCUGUCUAAUUUGUGAAAUGGAGAUCCCUGCUGUCAUCAUAAACAUUGCCGUAAGUAAAUAUGCUAAUAACUAAAUUUAAUCCUUUUGUGUAUUUCAGAUCAUCUGCUAUGGAAUUUUCCGAUGUCCAGCACGUUGUGGUUUUUUCCAUUGCUGCUCAGGUGUGUAUCUAUUCAAUACUUUAUGCCUUGUCGCUGUGUCUCUCCUUUUUCAGGCGCUGCAUCAUCCUUCUGAAGUCGCGGAGUCCUCCUGCUUGUGUUUACGCCAGGUGAAAUAUUACAACGGUGGAUCAAAUUCAAACACGAUGUCAUACAUUUCUCAAUCAACAAAUCAGAUUAUGUGAACUGUAAUAAAGUCUAAUCAUCAUCUGUCUAAUUUGUGAAAUGGAGAUCCCUGCUGUCAUCAUAAACAUUGCCGUAAGUAAAUAUGCUAAUAACUAAAUUUAAUCCUUUUGUGUAUUUCAGAUCAUCUGCUAUGGAAUUUUCCGAUGUCCAGCACGUUGUGGUUUUUUCCAUUGCUGCUCAGGUGUGUAUCUAUUCAAUACUUUAUGCCUUGUCGCUGUGUCUCUCCUUUUUCAGGCGCUGCAUCAUCCUUCUGAAGUCGCGGAGUCCUCCUGCUUGUGUUUACGCCAGGUGAAAUAUUACAACGGUGGAUCAAAUUCAAACACGAUGUCAUACAUUUCUCAAUCAACAAAUCAGAUUAUGUGAACUGUAAUAAAGUCUAAUCAUCAUCUGUCUAAUUUGUGAAAUGGAGAUCCCUGCUGUCAUCAUAAACAUUGCCGUAAGUAAAUAUGCUAAUAACUAAAUUUAAUCCUUUUGUGUAUUUCAGAUCAUCUGCUAUGGAAUUUU
Long non-coding RNA from Hermetia illucens (black soldier fly), 979 nucleotides. RefSeq lists it as uncharacterized. The record is from RefSeq and is a predicted model, not a curated record. NCBI's taxonomy places the organism in Eukaryota, Metazoa, Arthropoda, Insecta, Diptera, Stratiomyidae. The transcript is spliced from 5 exons.